RNAcentral lists this ribosomal RNA (253 nucleotides) under uncultured bacterium. RNAcentral's name for it is "partial 16S ribosomal RNA". It matches the Rfam family "Bacterial small subunit ribosomal RNA", at positions 524 to 776 of the family's 1533-position model. The record is from RNAcentral.
UACAUGGGGUGCAAACGUUGCUCGGAAUUAUUGGGCGUAAAGCGCACGUAGGCGGUUCGUUAAGUCGGAUGUGAAAGCCCGGGGCUCAACUCCGGAAUUGCCUUUAAGACUGCAUCGCUAGAAUUGUGGAGAGGUAAGUGGAAUUCCGAGUGUAGAGGUGAAAUUCGUAGAUAUUCGGAAGAACACCAGUGGCGAAGGCGACUUACUGGACACAUAUUGACGCUGAGGUGCGAAAGCGUGGGGAGCAAACAGG